GACGAACGCUGGCGGCGUGCUUAACACAUGCAAGUCGAGCGGUAAGGCCCUUUCGGGGGUACACGAGCGGCGAACGGGUGAGUAACACGUGGGUGACCUGCCCUCAGCUCUGGGAUAAGCCUGGGAAACCGGGUCUAAUACUGGAUAUGACUCCAUGACGCAUGUUGUGGGGUGGAAAGCCUUGUGCAGCUGAGGAUGGGCCCGCGGCCUAUCAGCUUGUUGGUGGGGUGAUGGCCUACCAAGGCGACGACGGGUAGCCGGCCUGAGAGGCGACCGGCCACACUGGGACUGAGACACGGCCCAGACUCCUACGGGAGGCAGCAGUGGGGAAUCUUGCGCAAUGGGCGAAAAGCCUGACGCAGCGACGCCGCGUGAGGG
RNAcentral lists this ribosomal RNA (378 nucleotides) under uncultured bacterium. RNAcentral describes it as "bacterial SSU rRNA". It matches the Rfam family "Bacterial small subunit ribosomal RNA", at positions 28 to 407 of the family's 1533-position model. The record is from RNAcentral.